UUGCGCAGGUACUUUGGGGACUCUAGCUAACCUCGGGCUGAUCGCACGUCCCUGUGAUGGCGACAACACAUUCAGAUGUCUGGCCUAUCAACUUUCGAUGUUACUUUCUGCGCCUACCAUGGUGACCAUGGUAACGGGGAAUCAGGGUUGGAUUCCAGAGAGGGAGCCUGAGAAAUGGCUUCCACAUCCAAGGAAGGCAGCAGGUACGCAAAUUACCCACUCCCGACGUGGGGAGGUAGUGAUGAAA
Molecule: non-coding RNA, 247 nt
Organism: Pelobates cultripes (western spadefoot toad)
Lineage: Eukaryota; Metazoa; Chordata; Amphibia; Anura; Pelobatidae
Source: the annotation of a GenBank genome assembly